AGGAUGAACGCUAGCUACAGGCUUAACACAUGCAAGUCGAGGGGCAGCGGGAUUGAAGCUUGCUUCAAUUCGCGGCGACCGGCGCACGGGUGAGUAACGCGUAUCCAACCUUCCGUACACUCAGGGAUAGCCUUUCGAAAGAAAGAUUAAUACCUGAUGGUAUGAUGAGAUUGCAUGAUAGCAUCAUUAAAGAUUUAUCGGUGUACGAUGGGGAUGCGUUCCAUUAGGUAGUAGGCGGGGUAACGGCCCACCUAGCCUACGAUGGAUAGGGGUUCUGAGAGGAAGGUCCCCCACAUUGGAACUGAGACACGGUCCAAACUCCUACGGGAGGCAGCAGUGAGGAAUAUUGGUCAAUGGACGAGAGUCUGAACCAGCCAAGUAGCGUGCAGGAAGACGGCCCUAUGGGUUGUAAACUGCUUUUAUAAGGGAAUAAAGUGAGUCUCGUGAGACUUUUUGCAUGUACCUUAUGAAUAAGGACCGGCUAAUUCCGUG
This 492-nucleotide ribosomal RNA is filed under the name uncultured bacterium. RNAcentral describes it as "bacterial SSU rRNA". It matches the Rfam family "Bacterial small subunit ribosomal RNA", at positions 26 to 507 of the family's 1533-position model. The record is from RNAcentral.